GUGGCGCAUUACUCAUUUAACCUACAGCAAACUGAGCCCGUGGAUAGACGUUUACUCACGGCCCGUUUGGGGUUUCAACAGCCGCAACUGGCUACGUCUCUGGUUUGUAGAUGUUCAUCGUCGCGAUUCCUCAAAGGGGACGUUUGUUCGGGAAGCGUUUUAAUCCUGCGUACGCGAUUGGCUCUAGCAAACUGCACAAAUCACAAGGAGCAGGCUGCUGCGUAGCGGCUCGCAAAAUGCUUGGAGUGACCAACCGCACGCCGCUGCUGGCGCUGGAAACGAGCGAGGACACCCUCCCGGGGAAAGCCUUCCAAGCACCGGAAAGAGAGGCUCAUGAACCUGUAAAUUCGAACGCUGUGGCAGACGAAGUUCCCAUAACUAGCUCUGAGCUCGAGCUACCAGCAGAUUCGGACGCUUUAGAAGAGAAGCAGCUACUUCUUCUGCUCAAGAAACAGCUCGGGGCAGAUUUCGAACGAAUUUUUGACUCAAAAAAUCCAUUCAUAGGGGAGGUUUUCUGAGCGAGCCUGCUCAACCUGUCAGGACGGGAUUUAUGUCAACAAUUGCAUCCCAGCGGUGCUCGAGUACGUUCAAAGCCAGGUAAUCCGUGCACGUUGUGGAGCUGGUGCGCAUUUUUUGGGUAUCAUGUUGGUCUUUCUACCCAGGGAGACAGCAUUAAUCUACCAAUCAACAAAUUCUUACUAGCACAUGGAUCCAAUGCGUGUGACUCGUGAUUCAGCACUGACCGAGGCGUUUCAAACGGAUCGACAUGCUCAAAACCGGCGCGAAGAAUCGUGAGAGCUUCUAUUUGGACCGUCGACCGUAGCUGAAGAGUAUGCGUGGAGUCAAGCUUCUGCUGAGGCUACAUAUCCCUGCGGCGCGUUAGGCCGUCGGGUAGAAGUACUCUACGAGCUAAUUGCCUCGUGGAGUACGCGUUUCGCACGCGUCCCUAGCGCACAGUCUUGCCUUCAGACACGAGUGUCGGGACGGAGUCGGGCUGUACACUGGAAACCUGAUGACGUUCACAGCACGCCCACGCGUUGUUGCAGCCUCGGCAACGUGCCCCGAUACCGGCUAUUGUCGCUAAUUUCGAAUCCGAGCACUUGGGCACGUCGGACACCAGGGAUCCGGUUCAAAUUGGCGGCUACAUUUUUACCAGCGAGCUUUUUUGGGUAUUUCCAAUAUGUCCAGCAAUUCUGAUUACAUGGCAUUCACCAUCUGUGUCUAGGCAUCGAAGUGGUACUGCAUAUAUAUGUCCUUCGAAAAUGCGCAUCUCUGUAAACUCUAGCGUUAAGCAGUUCAAUGUUUUGUGGUGGGUACAUGCUUAUUGCCAUUCCAGUGCCCACGAC
RNA transcript from Cyanidioschyzon merolae strain 10D, 1346 nucleotides. RefSeq lists it as hypothetical. The transcript has a single exon. The record is from RefSeq and is a predicted model, not a curated record. NCBI's taxonomy places the organism in Eukaryota, Rhodophyta, Bangiophyceae, Cyanidiales, Cyanidiaceae.